Molecule: ribosomal RNA, 799 nt
Filed under: Arthrophaga myriapodina
Lineage: Eukaryota; Fungi; Entomophthoromycota; Entomophthoromycetes; Entomophthorales; Entomophthoraceae
Description: LSU rRNA
Rfam family: Eukaryotic large subunit ribosomal RNA
Source: RNAcentral
AACUAACAAGGAUUCCCUUAGUAAUGGCGAAUGAACAGGGAAAAGCCCAAAUUUAAAAUCACUUCAAGUGAAUUGUAGUUUAAAGAAUUUAAGGUCCAGCAGCAACCACUGUUCAAGUGCUCUGGAAUGAACCAUCAUAGAGGGUGAAAUUCCCGUACUCAACAGAUAGGAAGCUGUCAAAAACUUUUAUUCAAAGAGUCGUGUUGCUUGUUAAUGCAGCAUUAAUUGGGAGGUAAAUUCCUUCUAAGGCUAAAUAUUAGAGUGAGACCGAUAGCAAACAAGUACCGUGAGGGAAAGAUGAAAGAGAACCCUGAAAAGGGGACUCAAAAGAAUGUGAAAUUGUCAAAAGGUAAGCGCUAAGAACUGUCCAAAGUUUAAAUGUUAAUGAUGAGGGUUACCUUGUCUGAAUUAGCAUUUAAAUGGCUACAACUUUUGUUUUAACCUUUGAAACCAUUGGGAUGGGGAUUGUAGGCUACGGUUUUACCUUUCUCUGAACUUUUUCUUCAAGAGUUGAAGCAGGAUAAAAGAAAGUCUCGAGCCAUGCCAAACAUUGGRGAACUUUGCUUCAUAGACUUGUCUAGAAAGUUUUAGGAACCAUGUUUGUUAUAUCAUGAGCACUUUGUAGUUUGGAGGUUCUAAGCGUCCCGUCUUGAAACACGGACCAAGGAGUCUAACAUUGAUGCAAGUAUAUGGGCAUUCAAUCCCAAAUGCGGAAUGAAAGUAAUUUCGGGUAGGAUCCAGUAAAACGGUGCACUAUCAACCGAACCCUUAUGGACUCGUUCAUAGGAUUUGAGUAAGA